GACGAACGCUGGCGGCGUGCUUAACACAUGCAAGUCGAACGGAAAGGCCCUGCUUUUGUGGGGUGCUCGAGUGGCGAACGGGUGAGUAACACGUGAGUAACCUGCCCUUGACUUUGGGAUAACUUCAGGAAACUGGGGCUAAUACCGGAUAGGAGCUCCUGCUGCAUGGUGGGGGUUGGAAAGUUUCGGCGGUUGGGGAUGGACUCGCGGCUCAUCAGCUUGUUGGUGGGGUAGUGGCUUACCAAGGCAUUGACGGGUAGCCGGCCUGCGAGGGUGACCGGCCACAUUGGGACGGAGAUACGGCCCAGACUCCUACGGGAGGCAGCAGUGGGGAAUAUUGCACAAUGGGCGGAAGCCUGAUGCAGCAACGCCGCGUGCGGGAUGACGGCCUUCGGGUUGUAAACCGCUUUCGCCUGUGACGAAGCGUGAGUGACGGUAAUGGGUAAAGAAGCACCGGCUAACUACGUG
This 468-nucleotide ribosomal RNA is filed under the name uncultured bacterium. RNAcentral describes it as "partial 16S ribosomal RNA". It matches the Rfam family "Bacterial small subunit ribosomal RNA", at positions 28 to 507 of the family's 1533-position model. The record is from RNAcentral.